RNAcentral lists this ribosomal RNA (266 nucleotides) under Pardosa lugubris. RNAcentral describes it as "12S Ribosomal RNA". RNAcentral also lists the same sequence under 1 other name. The record is from RNAcentral. Lineage: Eukaryota; Metazoa; Arthropoda; Arachnida; Araneae; Lycosidae.
GUUUUUUAAUCGACAAUCCACGUUAAUUUUAACUUUAAUUAUAAAUUUAUAUACCGCCAUCUAAAAAAUUAAUUUUAUAAUAAUAUUUAUAAUAAAAAAUAAAAAGUUAGGUCAAGGUGUAAUCUAUAUUAAAGUAAAUAAUGGGUUACAUUAAAAAUAAUUUAAGGAUUAUUAUACUAAAAUAUUUUAUAAAAAAGGAUUUAAAAGUAAUAAAAUAAUAAUAUUUUAUUAUGAUUUAGAUAAUAAAUGUGCACACAUCGCCCGUC